UCAUGACGGGGCGUAUACAAGUUUUG
This 26-nucleotide small RNA is filed under the name Bombyx mori (domestic silkworm). RNAcentral describes it as "piRNA piR-bmo-1968589". Lineage: Eukaryota; Metazoa; Arthropoda; Insecta; Lepidoptera; Bombycidae. The record is from RNAcentral.